Leucoraja erinaceus (little skate) is the source of this 2911-nucleotide long non-coding RNA. RefSeq lists it as uncharacterized. The record is from RefSeq and is a predicted model, not a curated record. The transcript has 4 exons. Lineage: Eukaryota; Metazoa; Chordata; Chondrichthyes; Rajiformes; Rajidae.
AUUCAUCAUUAAUUUUUUAUGCUUUGAAUAUCACAGAAGAUCAGGCCUCACACUAUAGCUUCAAUGAAUUUUUGAACAGUAGCAACCUGAGUAGUCCCACUUGUAUGCAAAGGUUAUUGAAACUAUGCCAAGCUAUUCACUUUAGAAUGUCAAGGGAUUUAACAUAUUUCAGAUAUAUCCUUAUAUUAACAAUGUGUGAUUAAUGUCAGUUUGAAGAAGGAUCUUGACCCAAAAUCUUGCAUAUCCAUUCCCUCUGCAGACGCUGCUUGACCCACCGAGUUACUCCAGCACUUUAUAUUUUCCUCACAAUUGAAGCAUCUGCAGUUCCUUGUAUGUACUGCAAAAGUGGGAUGGCAUAGAACUAGACUGAACAGGCGACUAAACUUUGUGCCAACAUGAAAAACUAUCUUCAAUCCUGUCUCUCCACACUGGGAACAAUAGCGCAUAAUUGAAUAAUAUAAGAGCAAUUGCAUGAAGUCCAUUUCCUUGCCAACGCACAGCACGAUUAUUGCCUCCUGAAGUGUGUCCCAACAGAUAUGAAUCCACACCCUUGGGGUAAAAAAAAAAAUAUUUAUCCGCAUCAAUUUGAAAGCUACCAGAAGCUGCUCGGGACCCCGCAAAGUGCCACAAUUCACAAAUGGAUGGGAGAAGAAGGUGGAUAAAAUGAGUUUAUCAUGGCACCGUGUUCAACACAGACAUUGUGGGCUGAAAUAGUAAGAAAUUAACUUGUUAUAGCUUCAUCAGGUUAAUUCAUUAAAUAAAUAAAAACCUGCAUAAAUAAUGGAAAGAAUUAUCAUUAAAAAUGUAAAAAUAAUUGCAGUUAUGAAUUAUGAUUUUCCAAUAUUAAGUGUGAUCGCCUUUGCCUGAAAGGAUUAGAGCAGUGUCGUUGAGGGCUUCCUAAAUCAGUGAAUAGAAAGUCUGAUGAGAGAACGGGGCAAUUCUUUGGGAAUAUAGCUGGGGAAGUAUUAGUGGAGCACCAUUAUGAUAGUGACCAUAAAUUAGGGCCUCUGAUUGAAAUGUUUAAAUCUUUUCUGACCACGGGGGAAAUGCCAAAUUGCAGGGAUUGGCCAGUGAGUUGAACAUCAGUGGCAAUAAAACUGUGGGAAAAGGUUCUGAGGGACAGGAUUAAUCUGAUUUGGAGAGACAGGGAUUAACAAAAGAGAAUCAGCAUGGCUUUGCAAAUGGGAGGUCCUGUUUGACUAGUUUGAUUGAUUUUUUGAAAGAGAGACUUACGUGUGUCAAUGAGGGUGGCGUGGGAGACUGAUCCUAGAGAUAAGAGACCAUGGGAUUCAGCAAAUUUAUCAAAUUACAUCUGAAAUUGCCUUGGUGACAGGAAGCAGAGGGCAAUGUCGCAGGGGGAUCGGAGUCCUGUCGUCAGUGGUGUAGUGCUGUGAUUUGUGCUGUUUGUUAUCUGCAGUGAUGAUGUGGAUGUGAAUGCAGGAGCUAUGGUUGGAAAGACUGCAGCUGACAUGAAAAUUGAUGGUGUUGUUGAUAGUGAGGAGGAUACACCAAGGCAAUUUAUACUAGCCAAUUAAUCCAGCAAACAGCGUAUCUUUUAAUGCUGGAGGAAAUCACACCACCCGAGAAUAGUCCAUACAGUGAAAAUAUGUAAACCCACGCGGACAGCACCAAAGGUCAGAAUCAAGCCGAGGCCCCUUGAACGAAGCACAUUUCCUCCAUGCAGCUGAUGCCAUCCAAUUCUAAGGACCAAGUGCUGGUAAACAGGAUCAGUGUAGAUAGGUCACAACAUGCUGGAGUAACUCAGGGGGUCAGGCAGUAUCUCUGGAAAACAUGGAUAGGUGAUGUUCUAGGUCAGGACCCUUCUUCAGACCAUCAGUUUCAUUGCUUUACUGUUCUCUUGUAAUACACCUUGGCAUUAGUUUAGUUUAGUUUGGAUACACAGCACGGAAACAGACCCCUCAGCUGACAGAGUCCACACUGACCAGUCAUCACUGCACAUUAACACUAUCCCACACACACUUGGGACAAUUCACGAUUUUACCGAGCCAAUUAACCUACAAACCUGCACGUCUUUGGGAGAAAACUGGAGCACCCGGGGAAAUCCCACACAGGUCACAGGGAGAACGUACAAACUGCAAACAAACAGCACCCAUAGUCAGGAUUGAACCUGGGUUUCUGGCGCUUUAAGGCAGCAACUCUACUGCUGUGCCACCAUGCCACCUCUGAUGCAAGGUUAUCAUAUGCAUUCUGAUCAUCCCAAAGUGUAUUCCUCCAAAGAAGAUCAGGUGGAAAGCCCUUUAAUAUUGCAGUUAAGAAAUAAAUAAAACAAAAGCAAUUUAUUGAAGAGAGUAGUGGAUGAUUAUUUAGAUAAGGCCAAAUGGGCACAUUGGAAUAUAUUGUAAAUUUGCAUCCUUUUCUCUACAAAGUUUGAGAGUUCAAAUCAGCCCAGCAGUCCAGCCACAGCAAACUUUAAGGGCCUGUCCCACUUGGUGAUUUUAUCGGCGACUGCUGGCGUCAUUGACUGAUGUAUCAGGGUCGCCGAAAGAUUUUGAAUAUUUCAAAAUCCAGCGGUGACAAAAAAAAUGUUGCGAUACUUGAGGAAACACCGCGCGUCAAUACGUCAUCACGCCACGACUUUUUCGGUGAGCUGAUACAUCAGUCAAUGAUGCCGGCAGUCGCCGAAAAAAUCGGCAAGUGGGACAGGCCCUUUACACCUCAUGCUGCCUCAGCAAGGCCAACAGCAUAAUCAAGGCCAAGCCACUCCAUCUUCUCCUCUCUCCCAUUAAGUAAAAGGUAUAGAAGUGUGAAAUUGCACACCUCCAGAUUCAGACGCAGUUUCUUCCCAGAUGUUCCCAGGCAACUGAACUGUCCUACCACAACCAGAGAGCAGUCUUGAACUCCUAUCUACCAUCAUCUUCUAUAUCUCUCGUUUCCUUUAUCCCUAAUCAGU